UACGAAGGGGGCUAGCGUUGCUCGGAAUCACUGGGCGUAAAGCGCACGUAGGCGGCUUUUUAAGUCAGGGGUGAAAUCCUGGAGCUCAACUCCAGAACUGCCUUUGGUACUGAGGAUCUUGAGUUCGGGAGAGGUGAGUGGAACUGCGAGUGUAGAGGUGAAAUUCGUAGAUAUUCGCAAGAACACCAGUGGCGAAGGCGGCUCACUGGCCCGAUACUGACGCUGAGGCACGAAAGCGUGGGGAGCAAACAGG
Molecule: ribosomal RNA, 253 nt
Filed under: uncultured bacterium
Lineage: Bacteria
Description: partial 16S ribosomal RNA
Rfam family: Bacterial small subunit ribosomal RNA
Source: RNAcentral